This 482-nucleotide ribosomal RNA is filed under the name uncultured bacterium. RNAcentral describes it as "partial 16S ribosomal RNA". It matches the Rfam family "Bacterial small subunit ribosomal RNA", at positions 30 to 507 of the family's 1533-position model. The record is from RNAcentral.
UGAACGCUGGCGGCAGGCCUAACACAUGCAAGUCGAGCGGAUGAAGGGAGCUUGCUCCUGGAUUCAGCGGCGGACGGGUGAGUAAUGCCUAGGAAUCUGCCUGGUAGUGGGGGAUAACGUCCGGAAACGGGCGCUAAUACCGCAUACGUCCUGAGGGAGAAAGUGGGGGAUCUUCGGACCUCACGCUAUCAGAUGAGCCUAGGUCGGAUUAGCUAGUUGGUGGGGUAAAGGCCUACCAAGGCGACGAUCCGUAACUGGUCUGAGAGGAUGAUCAGUCUCACUGGAACUGAGACACGGUCCAGACUCCUACGGGAGGCAGCAGUGGGGAAUAUUGGACAAUGGGCGAAAGCCUGAUCCAGCCAUGCCGCGUGUGUGAAGAAGGUCUUCGGAUUGUAAAGCACUUUAAGUUGGGAGGAAGGGCAGUAAGUUAAUACCUUGCUGUUUUGACGUUACCAACAGAAUAAGCACCGGCUAACUUCGUG